RNAcentral lists this ribosomal RNA (497 nucleotides) under uncultured bacterium. RNAcentral's name for it is "partial 16S ribosomal RNA". It matches the Rfam family "Bacterial small subunit ribosomal RNA", at positions 28 to 507 of the family's 1533-position model. The record is from RNAcentral.
GAUGAACGCUGGCGGCGUGCCUAAUACAUGCAAGUCGAGCGAACGGACGAGAAGCUUGCUCUUCUGACGUUAGCGGCGGACGGGUGAGUAACACGUGGAUAACCUACCUAUAAGACUGGGAUAACUUCGGGAAACCGGAGCUAAUACCGGAUAAUAUUUUGAACCGCAUGGUUCAAUAGUGAAAGACGGUUUUGCUGUCACUUAUAGAUGGAUCCGCGCUGCAUUAGCUAGUUGGUAAGGUAACGGCUUACCAAGGCAACGAUGCAUAGCCGACCUGAGAGGGUGAUCGGCCACACUGGAACUGAGACACGGUCCAGACUCCUACGGGAGGCAGCAGUAGGGAAUCUUCCGCAAUGGGCGAAAGCCUGACGGAGCAACGCCGCGUGAGUGAUGAAGGUCUUCGGAUCGUAAAACUCUGUUAUUAGGGAAGAACAUAUGUGUAAGUAACUGUGCACAUCUUGACGGUACCUAAUCAGAAAGCCACGGCUAACUACGUG